GGAUAAUCUACCCUUAGGACCGGGAUAACCCUGGGAAACUGGGGAUAAUACUGGAUAGGCAAUUAUUCCUGUAAUGGUUUUUUGUUUAAAUGUUUUUUCGCCUAAGGAUGAGUCUGCGGCCGAUUAGGUAGUUGGUUAGGUAAUGGCUUACCAAGCCGUUGAUCGGUACGGGUUGUGAGAGCAAGAGCCCGGAGAUGGAACCUGAGACAAGGUUCCAGGCCCUACGGGGUGCAGCAGGCGCGAAACCUCCGCAAUGUGAGAAAUCGCGACGGGGGGAUCCCAAGUGCCAUUCUUAACGGGAUGGCUUUUCAUUAGUGUAAAGAGCUUUUGGAAUAAGAGCUGGGCAAGACCGGUGCCAGCCGCCGCGGUAACACCGGCAGCUCUAGUGGUAACAAUUUUUAUUGGGCCUAAAGCGUCCGUAGCCGGUUUAAUAAGUCUCUGGUGAAAUCCUGCAGCUUAACUGUGGGAAUUGCUGGAGAUACUAUUAGACUUGAGACCGGGAGAGGUUAGAGGUACUCCCAGGGUAGAGGUGAAAUUCUGUAAUCCUGGGAGGACCGCCUGUUGCGAAGGCGUCUAACUGGAACGGUUCUGACGGUGAGGGACGAAAGUUAGGGGCGCGAACCGGAUUAGAUACCCGGGUAGUCCUAACUGUAAACGAUGCGGACUUGGUGUUGGGGUGGCUUUGAGCUGCUUCAGUGCCGAAGGGAAGCUGUUAAGUCCGCCGCCUGGGAAGUACGGUCGCAAGACUGAAACUUAA
RNAcentral lists this ribosomal RNA (757 nucleotides) under uncultured archaeon. Its description in RNAcentral is "bacterial SSU rRNA". It matches the Rfam family "Archaeal small subunit ribosomal RNA", at positions 102 to 859 of the family's 1478-position model. The record is from RNAcentral.